ACUGCUCAGUAACACGUAGUCAACCUAACCUAUGGACGGGAAUAACCUCGGGAAACUGAGAAUAAUUCCCGAUAGAACAUUAUGCCUGGAAUGGUUUAUGUUCCAAAUGAUUUAUCGCCAUAGGAUGGGACUGCGGCCUAUCAGCUUGUUGGUGAGGUAAUGGCCCACCAAGGCGAUUACAGGUACGGGCUCUGAGAGGAGAAGCCCGGAGAUGGGUACUGAGACACGGACCCAGGCCCUAUGGGGCGCAGCAGGCGAGAAAACUUUGCAAUGUGCGAAAGCACGACAAGGUUAAUCCGAGUGAUUUCUGCUAAAGGAAUCUUUUGUCAGUUCUAAAAAUACUAGUGAAUAAGGGGUGGGCAAGUUCUGGUGUCAGCCGCCGCGGUAAAACCAGCACCUCAAGUGGUCAGGAUGAUUAUUGGGCCUAAAGCAUCCGUAGCCGGCUCUGUAAGUUUUCGGUUAAAUCUGUACGCUUAACGUACAGGCUGCCGGGAAUACUGCAGAGCUAGGGAGUGGGAGAGGUAGACGGUACUCGGUAGGAAGUGGUAAAAUGCUUUGAUCUAUCGAUGACCACCUGUGGCGAAGGCGGUCUACCAGAACACGUCCGACGGUGAGGGAUGAAAGCUGGGGGAGCAAACCGGAUUAGAUACCCGGGUAGUCCCAGCUGUAAACUAUGCAAACUCAGUGAUGCAUUGGCUUGUGGCCAAUGCAGUGCUGCAGGGAAGCCGUUAAGUUUGCCGCCUGGGAAGUACGUACGCAAGUAUGAAACUUAAAGGAAUUGGCGGGGGAGCA
Molecule: ribosomal RNA, 792 nt
Filed under: uncultured crenarchaeote
Lineage: Archaea; Thermoproteati; Thermoproteota
Description: bacterial SSU rRNA
Rfam family: Archaeal small subunit ribosomal RNA
Source: RNAcentral